Balaenoptera musculus (blue whale) is the source of this 450-nucleotide long non-coding RNA. RefSeq lists it as uncharacterized. The transcript has 3 exons. Lineage: Eukaryota; Metazoa; Chordata; Mammalia; Artiodactyla; Balaenopteridae. The record is from RefSeq and is a predicted model, not a curated record.
CCCGGCUGAUGUGCUGGCCAGUGCGGGGAGGCUGGCAAGACACACACUGAUACCUGGAAACAAUGAAAUAUGGGAGUCAGGAGGUGGCCGAUGCUCCGGAGAAAACCGAAGCUGAUUAAGGACAGCAAGAAGGCUGCCGUCUGCAAGCCAGGACGGGGGUUCUCACCAGGAACGGAAUCUGCCAGCACCUUGAGCUUGGACUUCCAGCCUCCAGAACUCUGAGAGUCUCUGGAGCUGGCGACGUGCCAGCAGCAUCCUCCAGGCUGAUGGGCGUGCUCGGUGGAGAGCUCCAGGAGCAGCAGGCAACUUGGACCCCAGCCCCAGGUUUUCUCCUCAGGAAACGAGGGGUUGAAUUAGAUAACAAAGGCUACUUGUUCUCUUCUCUCUGAAUCUUGGUGGAGGAGCAACACAGGGAAAAUCAGUGCAGUCAGAGGCCCGUCUCCCGCUACU